CAGUCGCCGCGGGAAUACAGAGGGUGCGAGCGUUAAUCGGAUUUACUGGGCGUAAAGCGUGCGUAGGCGGCUUCUUAAGUCGGAUGUGAAAUCCCUGAGCUUAACUUAGGAAUUGCAUUCUAUACUGGGAAGCUAGAGUAUGGGAGAGGAUGGUAGAAUUCCAGGUGUAGCGGUGAAAUGCGUAGAGAUCUGGAGGAAUACCGAUGGCGAAGGCAGCCAUCUGGCCUAAUACUGACGCUGAGGUACGAAAGCAUGGGGAGCAAACAGGAUUAGAUACCCCCGUAGUCCCUGUCUCUUAUAC
Molecule: ribosomal RNA, 301 nt
Filed under: uncultured bacterium
Lineage: Bacteria
Description: partial 16S ribosomal RNA
Rfam family: Bacterial small subunit ribosomal RNA
Source: RNAcentral